GACGAACGCUGGCGGCGUGCUUAACACAUGCAAGUCGAACGAUGAAGAAAAGAAUCGAAGCUUCGGCAGAAAUUCAUUUCGGAUUAGUGGCAGACGGGUGAGUAACGCGUGAGCAACCUACCUCUUACAAAGGGAUAGCCUCGGGAAACCGGGAUUAAUACCAUAUAACAUUGUGACGAAGCAUUUCGAUGCAAUCAAAGCUACGGCGGUAAGAGUUGGGCUCGCGUCCCAUUAACCGGAUGGUGAGGUAACGGCUCACCAUAGUGACGAUGGGUAACCGGCCUGAGAGGGUGAACGGUCACACUGGAACUGAGACACGGUCCAGACUCCUACGGGAGGCAGCAGUGGGGAAUAUUGCACAAUGGAGGGAACUCUGAUGCAGCGACGCCGCGUGAGUGAUGAAGGAAUUCGUUUCGUAAAACUCUGUUCUAUGGGAAGAAAAGGACUGUACCAUAGGAGAAAGCUCCGGCUAAAUACGUG
RNAcentral lists this ribosomal RNA (480 nucleotides) under uncultured bacterium. RNAcentral describes it as "partial 16S ribosomal RNA". It matches the Rfam family "Bacterial small subunit ribosomal RNA", at positions 28 to 507 of the family's 1533-position model. The record is from RNAcentral.